CGUGUAGGCGGUCGGUCAAGUCCGAUGUGAAAGCCCGGGGCUCAGCCUCGGAAGUGCAUCGGAAACUAGCCGGCUGGAGCGCGAUAGAGGAGGGUAGAAUUCCUGGUGUAGCGGUGAAAUGCGCAGAUAUCAGGAGGAAUACCGGCGGCGAAGGCGGCCCUCUGGAUCGUUGCUGACGCUGAGACGCGAAAGCGUGGGGAGCAAACAGGAUUAGAUACCCUGGUAGUCCACGCGGUAAACGAUGGGUACUAGGUGUUCGGGGUAUUGACCCCCUGAGUGCCGCAGCUAACGCAUUAAGUACCCCGCCUGGGGACUACGGCCGCAAGGUUAAA
Molecule: ribosomal RNA, 332 nt
Filed under: uncultured bacterium
Lineage: Bacteria
Description: bacterial SSU rRNA
Rfam family: Bacterial small subunit ribosomal RNA
Source: RNAcentral